Long non-coding RNA from Macrobrachium nipponense, 627 nucleotides. RefSeq lists it as uncharacterized. The transcript has 2 exons. The record is from RefSeq and is a predicted model, not a curated record. Lineage: Eukaryota; Metazoa; Arthropoda; Malacostraca; Decapoda; Palaemonidae.
CUUUUGCUACAACUAACUACCAAUCGGCAAUCUACGACAUUCCUAAUAGGUACUCAUGAGGCUGGAAGGACCAGAUAUUGAUGUUGAUAAUGGAGGGAUUACCACUCACGAUUGGUGUCGAGAAAACUGUUGUUGACCAUUUCAAGUACUGAUAGCCAAACUUGUGCUUACUGAAAGAUCUGUUGAGUGAGGAAUUACAAGAAGACUGUAGUUUUACAGGGGCGUUGGUAGAAGAUGGCAAAUAAUAAAGGAAGGUGACAAAUGCAAGAAUUUUUCAAUUGUGUUACAAGAAACACUUGAAAGUUCAUUUUUAAGUGGCUUAUGAAUAUUCACACAUUUGACUUUUGCAUCAGGACUUUUGGUAUAAUUUAUCCUAUAAUGAAUUAAGUUAUGACUUGUCUAGACUAUAGACUAUUAUUGUAUAAUUGCCUGACAGAGACAAAUUGUGAAUUUAUUUGGAAGUUUUCUGCUAAAGGCUUAUAAAGCAGCUGAAGCCUUUGAUACAUUUUUCAGGUAAUUUUAAUGCAGCAUUGAUGUUAAAAACGUGUGACUGGCGCAAGUUUAAACAGUACUACCAGUUGGAACAGCCGCAUAGAGAUAAUUGAAAAUAUACAAAUUCUAAAAUCC